UUCCGGUUGAUCCUGCCGGAGGCUACCGCUAUUGGAGUUCGAUUAAGCCAUGCGAGUCGAGAGUCUUAGGGACUCGGCGUACCGCUCAGUAACACGUGGGUAACCUGCCCUAUGCUGGGGAAUAACCUCGGGAAACUGAGAAUAAUACCCCAUAGUUCACCACGCCUGGAACGGUGGGUGGAUGAAAGCUCCGGCGGCAUAGGAUGGGCCUGCGACGUAUCAGGUUGUAGGGGGUGUAACGUACCCUCUAGCCAUCAACGCGUACGGGUGUUGGGAGACAUAGCCCGGAGAUGGAUUCUGAGACACGAAUCCAGACCCUACGGGGUGCAGCAGGCGCGAAAACUUGGCAAUGCGAGCAAUCGUGACCAGGGAACUCCAAGUGGCUGGGGUAAUACCCAGUUUUUUCUUGACUCUUCAAAGGUCUUGGAAUAAGGGGUGGGUAAGGACGGUGCCAGCCGCCGCGGUAAUACCGGCGCCUCAAGUGGUAGUCGCUUUUAUUGGGCCUAAAACGUCCGUAGCCGGUCUGGUGCAUUCGUGGGUAAAUCAACCCGCUCAACGGGUUGAAUUCUGCGAGCACGGCCAGACUUGGGACCGGGAGAGGUGUGGGGUACUCUCAGGGUAGGGGUAAAAUCCUGUCAUCCUGAGAGGACCACCUGUUGCGAAGGCGCCACACUAGAACGGAUUCGACGGUCAGGGACGAAACCUAGGGGCACGAACCGGAUUAGAUACCCGGGUAGUCCUAGGUGUA
This 748-nucleotide ribosomal RNA is filed under the name uncultured Candidatus Poseidoniales archaeon. RNAcentral describes it as "bacterial SSU rRNA". It matches the Rfam family "Archaeal small subunit ribosomal RNA", at positions 1 to 755 of the family's 1478-position model. Lineage: Archaea; Methanobacteriati; Thermoplasmatota; Candidatus Poseidoniia; Candidatus Poseidoniales. The record is from RNAcentral.